GGGAUUGUAGUGGAAAUCCUUUUUCUUUAAAAAAAGAUUGCAACGUAAAGCCCGACC
This 57-nucleotide small RNA is filed under the name Empedobacter stercoris. Its description in RNAcentral is "Flavo-1 RNA". It matches the Rfam family "Flavo-1 RNA", at positions 9 to 72 of the family's 76-position model. Lineage: Bacteria; Pseudomonadati; Bacteroidota; Flavobacteriia; Flavobacteriales; Weeksellaceae. The record is from RNAcentral.